RNAcentral lists this ribosomal RNA (492 nucleotides) under uncultured bacterium. Its description in RNAcentral is "partial 16S ribosomal RNA". It matches the Rfam family "Bacterial small subunit ribosomal RNA", at positions 29 to 507 of the family's 1533-position model. The record is from RNAcentral.
AGUGAACGCUGGCGGUAGGCCUAACACAUGCAAGUCGAACGGCAGCACAGUAAGAGCUUGCUCUUACGGGUGGCGAGUGGCGGACGGGUGAGGAAUACAUCGGAAUCUACUUUUUCGUGGGGGAUAACGUAGGGAAACUUACGCUAAUACCGCAUACGACCUACGGGUGAAAGCAGGGGAUCUUCGGACCUUGCGCGAUUGAAUGAGCCGAUGUCGGAUUAGCUAGUUGGCGGGGUAAAGGCCCACAAAGGCGACGAUCCGUAGCUGGUCUGAGAGCAUGAUCAGCCACACUGGAACUGAGACACGGUCCAGACUCCUACGGGAGGCAGCAGUGGGGAAUAUUGGACAAUGGGCGCAAGCCUGAUCCAGCCAUACCGCGUGGGUGAAGAAGGCCUUCGGGUUGUAAAGCCCUUUUGUUGGGAAAGAAAAGCAGCAGGUUAAUACCCCGCUGUUCUGACGGUACCCAAAGAAUAAGCACCGGCUAACUUCGUG